This 76-nucleotide transfer RNA is filed under the name Rhodospirillaceae bacterium. Its description in RNAcentral is "tRNA-Val". It matches the Rfam family "tRNA". Rfam says of the family: Transfer RNA (tRNA) molecules are approximately 80 nucleotides in length. Their secondary structure includes four short double-helical elements and three loops (D, anti-codon, and T loops). Further hydrogen bonds mediate the characteristic L-shaped molecular structure. tRNAs have two regions of fundamental functional importance: the anti-codon, which is responsible for specific mRNA codon recognition, and the 3' end, to which the tRNAs corresponding amino acid is attached (by aminoacyl-tRNA synthetases). tRNAs cope with the degeneracy of the genetic code in two manners: having more than one tRNA (with a specific anti-codon) for a particular amino acid; and 'wobble' base-pairing, i.e. permitting non-standard base-pairing at the 3rd anti-codon position. Lineage: Bacteria; Pseudomonadati; Pseudomonadota; Alphaproteobacteria; Rhodospirillales; Rhodospirillaceae. The record is from RNAcentral. RNAcentral also lists the same sequence under 1 other name.
GGGCGGUUAGCUCAGCUGGUAGAGCAUCUCGUUUACAUCGAGAGGGUCGGCGGUUCAAACCCGUCACCGCCCACCA